UCUCUCUCUUUCUCUCUCUCUCACUCCCUUCCUCUUUUCUAUACAUUGCGUUCCUCUUUCUCGCUUGCUCUCAUUGGUUAGUAAUGGUGCGCGCGCUCCUUCCCUCCGGCCGAGAGGCCUGAGGGAAAGAAACAGCGGAGGGCCGUACAUACGAACGAACGAAUGAGCGAACAAGUUGGCGAGAGAAGGAUAGAAACGAUAUAGAGAAGUUAGGAGUGCAGAAACGGUGGGGCUGACUCUGUUCGGUCUUGCGCGGCACGUAUUAGUCAACCCGGAGCCACGGUCCUCGUAGGAACCGUCCUCGUCGUCGUUAUUAUUUUUAUUAACAUAAUUCUAUCGUUGAUUGGUUAGUGUGUUGUAUGUGUAUUUAUGUGUGUGUGUGUGUAUAUUGUUUUGUAUUAAAAGAAGAAGAAGAAGAAGAUAAAGAAGAAGAAGAGGAAGAAUAAUAAUAAUGAGAAACAAUUUUGAAUAAUUGAUCAUCUGGUGAUAUACUCUAUAAAGAUUCUAUUCGUUUUAUUCGCGUAUACGAUAUAUAAUAUUACAAUAAUAAUAAUAAUAAUAAUAAUAACGAAAACAGGGUGUGCAACAACGACCAGUGCAUUCGACGAUAAGAAAAAAAAAGCCUUUUAUUAUUCUAACUACUGUUACUACCUACAACUUAUACGAUUCAACUACUGUGAUAUAAAUAGGUGUAUAUAUAUAUAUAUAUAUAUAUGAAAUAUCUACAUAUACACACAAGAGAUAUUCUCCAAUGAAAACGAGAGAAAGAGAAAGAAAGAAAGAAAGAGAGAGAGAGAGAGAAAGAGAGAGAGACGAGAAAUCGAUCCUCGAAACUCGUCCCGUUUCAAUUUCUCUUCUUCUCUUGGCACUUCGCGGUGACUCAUUUCGGGGAAAGUAAAACGAAACAACACGCCUCGGAAAGGAGGAGGAGACUUUCUGAUAUCGAGACUAAGGAUAAUUAGAAGAAAUAAAAAAACAAACAUACACACACAAAGACGUUAAAAAGAUAUAUAUAUAUAUAUA
Polistes canadensis is the source of this 1023-nucleotide long non-coding RNA. RefSeq lists it as uncharacterized. The record is from RefSeq and is a predicted model, not a curated record. NCBI's taxonomy places the organism in Eukaryota, Metazoa, Arthropoda, Insecta, Hymenoptera, Vespidae. The transcript is spliced from 3 exons.